CCUACGGGAGGCAGCAGUAAGGAAUAUUGGUCAAUGGAGGCAACUCUGAACCAGCCAUGCCGCGUGCAGGAAGAAGGCCCUAUGGGUCGUAAACUGCUUUUGUACCAGAGAAAACCCGAGUACGUGUACUCGGUUGAUAGUAUGGUAAGAAUAAGCAUCGGCUAACUUCGUGCCAGCAGCCGCGGUAAGACGAAGGAUGCAAGCGUUAUCCGGAUUCAUUGGGUUUAAAGGGUGCGUAGGCGGACUGAUAAGUCAGUGGUGAAAUCUCUCGGCUUAACCGAGAAACUGCCAUUGAUACUGUUAGUCUAGAGUAUAGAUGACGUUGGCGGAAUAUGACAUGUAGUGGUGAAAUACUUAGAUAUGUCAUAGAACACCGAUUGCGAAGGCAGCUAACGAAACUAUAACUGACGCUGAGGCACGAAAGUGCGGGGAUCAAACAGGAUUAGAUACCCUGGUAGUCCGCACCGUAAACGAUGAUUACUCGUUGUUGGCAAUAUGACCGUCAGCGACCAAGCGAAAGCGAUAAGAAUCCACCUGGGGAGUACGCCGGCACGGUGAAACGUUAAGGAAUUGACGGCGNGAGACGAGACGACGACGACGACGAGGGAGGAGG
RNAcentral lists this ribosomal RNA (613 nucleotides) under uncultured bacterium. RNAcentral describes it as "bacterial SSU rRNA". It matches the Rfam family "Bacterial small subunit ribosomal RNA", at positions 338 to 951 of the family's 1533-position model. The record is from RNAcentral.